GUGCCAGCCGCCGCGGUAAUACCGGCAGCCCGAGUGAUGGCCGAUCUUAUUGGGCCUAAAGCGUCCGUAGCUGGCUGCGCAAGUCCGUCGGGAAAUCCACUCGCCCAACGAGUGGGCGUCCGGCGGAAACUGCACGGCUUGGGACCGGAAGGCUCGAGAGGUACGUCCGGGGUAGGAGUGAAAUCCCGUAAUCCCGAACGGACCACCGAUGGCGAAAGCAUCUCGAGAAAACGGAUCCGACAGUGAGGGACGAAAGCCAGGGUCUCCAACCGGAUUAGAAACCCUUGUAUCC
Molecule: ribosomal RNA, 292 nt
Filed under: uncultured bacterium
Lineage: Bacteria
Description: partial 16S ribosomal RNA
Rfam family: Archaeal small subunit ribosomal RNA
Source: RNAcentral